RNAcentral lists this transfer RNA (74 nucleotides) under Octopus sinensis (East Asian common octopus). RNAcentral's name for it is "tRNA-Ile". It matches the Rfam family "tRNA". Rfam says of the family: Transfer RNA (tRNA) molecules are approximately 80 nucleotides in length. Lineage: Eukaryota; Metazoa; Mollusca; Cephalopoda; Octopoda; Octopodidae. The record is from RNAcentral.
GCCCCGGUAGCACAAUCGGUUAGCGCGCCGUACUUAUAAUGCAGAGGUUGUGAGUUCGUGCCUCACCCGGGGCA